UUGAUUUAUACGUUCGCACCAAUUUAAUUAUAUAUGUAAUAGUUACUGAUUUUUAAUUAUUCAAUAUAUAUUUAUUAUUUCAUAAUAAUAUGUAAGAACAUAUAAUACAUAAAAUAAUUUAUAUAUAUAAUGUUUAUCCCGCGCGGGUCUUAAUUUAGUUAUAUACUAUAUUCUACGACUUUCUAUCUUGUUAAAUAGUCUUUGCAGUUAACCCGUAUGCGUUCAUCAUUAUCAUUAGUAGCAGAUAAAUCGCCAAAUGUAGUUACAGAUGCAAAUUAGCAAUAUAAUUGGAGAAAAUCUUCAAGCUAGCGGACUGAUUACAAAUGUCCCAAUUGUGGAGCUUUGGAGUCAGCCAUUCAUCUACUCUUUCUCUGUCCAUAUGCUGUGAAGGUAUUGGCUCUCGUCCCCCUUCAGAUGCUGCAUGCAUUGUCAUCUGUCUCCCACCAACAGCAAUAAGCUCGGUCAUCUUCUCAUGGGUAGGCUAGCAUCUAUGGAAUUGAAGAAACCGGUUUCUUUUACAGGAGAUAAGUACAUGAAUAUUCUAGUUCCUUGUAUAUAGGAGUAUCUUGUAUAUUGUUAGAGUAUAUCUCCUUUCUAUGUAUAUAUAUUGUACUCCUCUCAAUUGUCAAUACAACACAUUACCCACAUCUUGUUAAAUCAACAUUACUCUCUACAUGGUAUUAGAGUCGUCUUGUUAAAUCAACAGAUCCUCCGAAACUUUUUUUUCACGAAGAUUGAUACUUCAUAUUCUUUUUUUUGAAUGAAUGUAAAUAAUAUUCAAGCAAAAAACUUUAUCUUCUUCAAACAUCAUUCCAGGCUAAUCUCAACCGUGAUCCGCAAAACCCUAUUAUGGCGGUCAAAAUGGUGAAUAUCACCAAACUCUCAUCAACAAACUAUCUAACUUGGAGUGUGCAAAUCACAUCUCUUCUCAGAGGUUAUAAUCUUGUCAAGACAACACUACUAUUCCACCUCCUGGGAUAAUCAAUGUCAACGAUGUUCUCACUCCAAACCCUGCUCUCACGUUGAUAGCGACAUAACAAUAUUCUCUUCAACGGUCUCAUGGGUGCUAUUGAGACUCCGAUUCAACCACUUAUCGCUACAUCCAUGUCAACUCUUGAGGCUUGGAACACUCUAUCUUGCUACGUAUGGCAAACCAACACGGGGGGGGGGGGGGGAGAAGUAUGGAGGUUUUUGUGAGGAAAGACUGUUUCAUGAAACUGAACAUGGCGAGAGAUGAAGAUUUUGGUGGAGGAAGGAUUAAACCAGAGGUAGGCACUCUGAGUUUGGGAGUAACCUAAGAAGAUGCAGGGAGUGGAGCGAGGUUCAAGUUUUUGUUGAUGACGUUGUCGUCACAGGCAACAACUCUGCAGCGGUCGAGAAAUUCACAUAAUGCAUGGGCAUCCGAUUCUCUCUUAACGACUUAGGCUCUCUCGGUUAUUUUCUGGGAAUUGAAGCACAUCGCACUGCUGAGGGGAUCCUUCUCACUCAACAAAAAUACAUCACAGACUUGUUAGCUCAUACUAAAAUGCUUGAUGCUAAUCCAGUCUCAACUCCGAUGGCCUCCGAUGGCCUCCGAUGGCCUCCAAUUGUCACUUGCAACUUACUUCUCGUACACCUCUCAUUGAUGGUCGUGAGUAUUGUAAACUUGUUGGAAGCUAGCAGUAUCUUCAUUUUACCAGAUCAGAUGUGGCUUUUGCUGUGAACAAGUUUUCACAAUUUAUGCAUCAUCCGUCGGAUGAACAGUGGCAGGCAGCAAAACGUGUUCUUCGCUAUCUCUCUGGAACUCGCGAUCAAGGCAUCUUUCUUCGCAGCAACAACACUCUCAACCUUCAUGCCUUCUCGUACUCCGACUGGUCUGGAAAUCGGGAUGAUUAUACUUCAACAGGAGUAUACAUUGUUUCUCUGGCUCUCAUCAUGUGGUCUGGUCCUCAAAGAAACAAAAGACUGUUGCUCGUUCUUCAACUGAAGCUGAGUACAGGUCUAUAGCUGACACUGCCGCUGAAGUUUGCUGGAUGUCAUAUCUUCUGUCUGAAUUGGGAGUCUCUACUGCGUCUCAACCUGUCAUUUUUUUUUGACAAUGUGGGUGCUAUAUAUCUUGCCGCAAACCAUGUUUUUCACUCUCGCAUGAAGCACGUGGCGCUUGACUAUCAUUUUGUUCGUCAUAUGGUUCAGUCAAAGUUCCUCAGAGUCACUCAUGUAUCUUCUAAAGAUCAGCUAGCCGAUAUACUUACUAAACUGUUACCUCGUCUGCCUCUACAACAACUCAAUUCCAAGAUUGGGCUCUCAUUCGGCCGCUCAUCUUGCGGGGGCGUAUAUGAGAUAAAUACAUGAGUAUUCUAGUUCUUUUAUAUAGAAGUAUCUUGUAUAUGCUCUGUAGAUAAGCUCUAGAGAUCCUACGUGAGCUCCUCUAGUAUAUAUAUAUAUAUAUAUAUAUAUAUAUAUAUUAUAUUCCUGUCUAUUAUCAAUACAACACAUUAUCCAUAUCUCUCUACGUCUUUUUGAGAACAGAUCAGUAGCACCUGCACCGGAAACAGUCCUUAAGGCAGUUCUUCGAGCCCUCGAAUGGCAGUCUGCUCAAGCUGAGGUACGACAGAACAGGCCUCCUCUUCACAUCUCAGCUCCGCCUCUCCUUGCAAUACCACCCGGAACAGUAUGAUAAUCUCCGACAUGGAUGCCGACGGAUCUCUGUAAUGGAGAUGAACACUGAUGAAGUUAUGUGCCGCCUCUGUCAUCGACGCCGCAUCUUCAGUGCCGCGUACGAGAAGCGACAUUCCGAGAUAAAUCAAAAAGGGACACAACAAAGACUUCUGUUGUCGACACCGUAGUUUCAGUGGCAAGUAUCUUGGGAGAGGGAGGAAGAAACAAUGUUGUUGUCGGGGAUAUGUGAGGUGCGGAUGUGACUGCUGUGAAUAGAGGAUGUGUGGAUGUGAUUGAUGUGGACGGCAGUUGCGUGGAUGUGGUGGUUGUGGACAUGAGAGCCGGGGGUCAAGUGCGAUGUGGUCAGAUAAAAAGUGAUCAGAUGAAAUAUAGAUAACAAUGAAGAUCUCGCUUGCAUCUUCCAUGCUCCGUGUUAGUUUCAAUGGCGAGUGUGGAGAUGUGUGAGGUGCAGAUGUGACUGCUCUGGACAGAGGAUGUGUGGAUAUGAUCGGUGUGGACGGCAAUUGUAUGGAUGUGGUGGCUGUGAACAUGUGAGUUAGGGGGGGGGGGUCAAGUACGCAGUGGUCAGAUAAGAGAUGGUCAGUUGAGAUAUGGAUAACAGUGAAGAUCCCGCCUGCGUCUUCCAUGCUCUGGGUAUUUACAAAAUUCAUAUAAGAUGAUAGUUUCUACACUUUGUAAACAUUGAUAUUUCUUUUCGCAUUAUACAAUAAAUUUUUUGUUCGGAUACUUUUUGUAUAGAAACCAGAAGAAAGACUAUUAGUAUAAAA
Long non-coding RNA from Brassica napus (rape), 3425 nucleotides. RefSeq lists it as uncharacterized. NCBI's taxonomy places the organism in Eukaryota, Viridiplantae, Streptophyta, Magnoliopsida, Brassicales, Brassicaceae. The transcript is spliced from 2 exons. The record is from RefSeq and is a predicted model, not a curated record.